UACGUAGGUUGCGAGCGUUGUCCGGAUUUACUGGGUGUAAAGGGCGUGUAGGCGGAGAAGCAAGUUGGGAGUGAAAUCCAUGGGCUCAACCCAUGAACUGCUCUCAAAACUGUUUCCCUUGAGUAUCGGAGAGGCAAGUGGAAUUCCUAGUGUAGCGGUGAAAUGCGUAGAUAUUAGGAGGAACACCAGUGGCGAAGGCGGCUUGCUGGACGACAACUGACGCUGAGGCGCGAAAGCGUGGGGAGCAAACAGG
RNAcentral lists this ribosomal RNA (253 nucleotides) under uncultured bacterium. RNAcentral describes it as "partial 16S ribosomal RNA". It matches the Rfam family "Bacterial small subunit ribosomal RNA", at positions 524 to 776 of the family's 1533-position model. The record is from RNAcentral.